UGAAUCCAUUGCUUAGCAUGGGAGAUGGAAU
Molecule: non-coding RNA, 31 nt
Filed under: Rattus norvegicus (Norway rat)
Lineage: Eukaryota; Metazoa; Chordata; Mammalia; Rodentia; Muridae
Source: RNAcentral